This is an RNA transcript of Anopheles funestus (African malaria mosquito), 5486 nucleotides long. It is a transcript of the gene named nose resistant to fluoxetine protein 6-like, with no coding region annotated. The record is from RefSeq and is a predicted model, not a curated record. The transcript is spliced from 14 exons. NCBI's taxonomy places the organism in Eukaryota, Metazoa, Arthropoda, Insecta, Diptera, Culicidae.
GACACACAGAUCAAUUGAUUGAUGCAUGGUGACAGUGUUUUGUCUCGAAGGAAUCCUUUUCAUCGCAUCAAGCCAAUGGCCCUGUUUGUUAUACCUCCGUGGGGACGUUUGUGGCUUUUGUGGCAAACCCUCCCCUGAAUCAACUGCUGUAAAUUAAUGAUGAGCUAUUUAACAGCGGUGCAACGAACGUCACGGUGUAUCGAUUCGCAUUAAACAUUUAAUGCAACCCGAUAUUCUAACCUACGACCCGAUAGGAAAGAUUCCAGCACUACACUGAUUUGCUGCAAACAAUAGCAAAACCCCGUAACAAUGCACACUCAUACAAUCUUGUGGCAAUGAAACGAUGUUGCUAUUAUUUGAUUUUUUUUUUUUGCUGUUGUUUUCCCUGUCACGAUAGUGCUAUUUCCCUUGAAGAAAGCUCGGUUUUGCCCGCACCGGUUCAAGGUGAGUGUGACAUUAAUUAUAGAUUUGCUUUCGGUCGUGAAAUGACCAAACGGAGCUGGAUGAGUUGGUGCAAAUGUGCACACGUGGGGAAACGCUAUGCAAUUAAAUGCACCACCCAUCCGGAAGGCAGUUAUCCAGCCAGCAGUUUUGCGAAAAGAGAAUUAUGUUGCAUUUUUGAGUUCCAUUUUCUCCGGUACCAUUCACAGUCGCACGAAUGGUGGGCUUUAGAUCAGUUGUGUAGGAAAUAUUAAGAGGAAAAAAUCUUCCUUCCCAGUGCGAUUAGAGCUCUUUUACUUUUUUGUUGGUGUUUAAAAUGAGCUUAUCGGUACAAGUUUUAUCUAUUUGCUUUCUGUUUGUUUCGGUUGGUUCGGAGGUGGCGGAAAUUGUUAUUAACAAAACAGAAUGUGGAAAGGAUGCAGCAUUCAAUAUCACGGCUUACUACCAAAUGCCUCCACUCUAUCUGUACGAUGAUUACGACCGCUGUCUGGAGGAGUUCCCGGUGCGUGCCACGUACUGUUUAGUAGACAGUUGGAUCGUACCAAACGACACCAUACCCCUCUGGUCCGUGAUAGAGCAAUUCUCCACCGAUACAAAGCGUAGCUUCCGGCAUGAUCGACUACAGCGAGGUCUUUGUAUGAACCGCUGCCACCAGCUAAUGAGCAAGUUCGAUCGACGCACUCAGAUGAAAUACUUCCAGUCCCGCUUCGUACCGAACGAUUCGCAGGAGAUUACGUUCGAUCCGAAUACGUUCCGUGAGGCGCUCGAUUGGCGUAACCGGUAUCGCCGUUUAGCCAAUCAAUGUGUCAAUUACGAGCUGAAGCGUCAGUACACUCUGAUGGCAUACAGCACAGUCGAAUAUUGUGUGACGAACAGGCAGCAGGCAGAACGGGAUGUAUUCGUGUCCGGUUUGGUAACAUCCUCGGAAGCUUUAGAUGAGAUCGAUGUUGUGUUUCUAUUUAUUUUCGGUCUACUGUUGGUGCUUACCCUGAUGUCCAUGGUGUACGAUUCUUACCGAUAUCGUCGAACAAAACCACACGACACGACUGGUACGGAUGGAUUAAGCGAUUACUAUCGAUCCGGGCUCGAACGUUGUAACGGUGUAAGCCGAUGGACCAUUUUGCUGGUAUCAUUCUCCCUUCCCCGGAACUGGCAUUUACUGACAAUGGCCCGGAAAAAAGCGACCACAUCCACGAAAGAUUUGCGCUUCAUACAGUCGGUACGGUUUCUUGUGAUGUAUCUCGUCAUCGCUGGCCACUCAAUGCUGUUUAAUUGCAUCUUUCCACUGCACAAUCCACAGUACGUGGAGUUGAACUAUCGCCGGUUUAUCACGAUGCUUAUAUUUAAUGGUAUUACGGUGGUGCAAACGUACUUUACCAUUAGCGGUUUUCUGUUGGCCGUUCACUUUGUGGAUUUUGCUGAAAAACAGCGGCACUUUCGUUUGAGGGACUUUUUGCAAAGCAUUCUAUACCGGUUUUUAAGAUUAACACCAGUCUAUGCGUUUAUGAUGCUGCUGGACGCGUCCUGGUUGAUCCGAUUGCAGGAUGGACCGGUAUGGAAGCGUGUAGCCGAAACGGAGCGUACCUACUGUCGAAGCAACUGGUGGGCGAAUGUGCUGUACGUGAAUAACUACUUCACCGUAUCGGAACCGUGUUUGCAACAGACCUGGUACCUUGCAACGGACUUUCAACUGUUUAUCAUCGGGCUUACUAUACUGACACUUACAUGGCGCUACCCGAAGCUACUCAAACCAUUGCUAGCUGUGGCCGUGGCGGGAGCACUUACAAUACCGGCUAUCGUCACAUACGCCAAUCGGUUUGAGGGAGUCGUAAUCUUACGGCCCGAAGCCCUCAAGUAUGUGCUGUGGUAUGAUGCCAUGUAUCGCAAGAUGUACAUUCCGACGCACACUAAUUUUGGCAGCUAUCUGGCCGGGUUGAUAGCUGGUUUGAUGUACCACAAGUUGAAGCGUGCCAGCUUCGAUGCCAUGCGUCAUAGAGGCUUUCUCGUGCUCUGGUACACAUCACUACCGGCCGCGGUCAUUCUACUACUGUCAGCCUACAUAUUUUAUGCGUACGACUUUACCAAACCCGCCAUCUGGAUAGCGGUUUAUGCGGCACUAGCAAAAAAUCUCUGGGGCGCACUUUUUGGCGUACUGUUCGUUGGGGUAGCGUUCGGUGUUGGCGGAUUUCUACGUACCGCUCUUAAUAGUUCGAUCUUUCGACCACUGGGCAAGGUGACGUACUGUGUGUUCCUGUGCCAUCUCUUUGUGAUUCGCGUCACGUUGGGCAAUGUACGACAGCCGAUCUACGUAAGCGAUAUGCGUAUUCUUGUAUCAACUUCAUCCACCCUUGUGCUGGCCUACAUUAUGGGAACGUUGAUGUGUCUGCUGAUAGAGAUACCAUUCUCGAAUAUUCAGAAACAUUUAUUCUUCUUUAAAAAAGAAAAUAUCUACAAGGAAGAAAUUCAACUUGUUGCCAAUGGAUGUACCAGUCAAUCCGGAUGUCUUGGAGAAGGAACCAAAGAACCAGCGAUGGAACCAUAAAUAAUUCCUAGCAAAUUUUAAAUCCUAAAAAGGUAAGGUAACUAAUUUAAUUUGAAUCUCAAACAACGAACACAAAAAUCUUGCUUACAAAUCAAAAAAUUUAAUUGAAUAAAAAUGAGCUUUAGAGGAGAUUAUGUUGAUGUACUAUUUUAACAUUAGAAUAAGAAGCGUUAGCUGAAAGUGGAGAGGUUAAAAUAAACUUUAACUAUCACUUUCGUAUCGUUAGAAUCGACUGCCAUCUGUCGAUUAGAAGUGCACACAACAGACAAAGUAAAGGACCAUUGCCCAUUCAAAAUUAGCUCCAUUGACGCACAAUCAAAGCUACUCUACGUUCUGCUUAUAACGCGAUCACAUUUUCUUGCUGCAAAUGUGGGUACCGCGCGGCAACAGAACCCCAUUCACCACAUACCGGACUAUUCUCGGAAUCAUUGCACCUCGGGAAAGUUGUAAAAUGUUCUCAGACAGGAAAUGGAUACAGUGGGAUAUGGCACGGUGGUUGCAUAUAUGUUCUAGGUUGGUUUACACCUAGCAAAUGUUCUACUUAUUAAGUAAGAAACCAGUUCAGCGUUCGUUUUCCUCGUAGACAAGCCAACAACAAGGGUACCGCAGUAACGCAUACGAAUGUGCGUUCUUAUUUGUGAUUAAGUCAUUAGUGAGCUGUGAGUGAUUUCGAUGCGUUAUAAGAAACGAACGGUUGGAUAAAAUUGUCGAGUGGAUUAAUUUUGAAUCAUAUUAAAUUGUUUUUGCUUAUCAUAGCUUUAAUAGUUUUUGUGUUUAAAUAUUUUAAAAUAUAUUUUUAUCACCCUUAUUGGAUUUUAAGUUACCAGAUGAAGAUGAAUAAAACAUUGGCGAAAGAAACUUUGCUUUAGUCGUCAAUUUGUGAUUAAAAAAAGCUAUUUAAAUAAUAACAAAAUUGCGCAUCAUCAGAGUUUGUUCCACAGACAACAGCCUUUUAACUACCAUCUUUGUGCAAAUGCUAGUAAAAUUACAUCAACAUGCGUAGCAUCAAUCUGCAACGCAAAUGCACUUUAAAAAAGCUUAAUAACUAUUGCUGCAAACUGGCGGGAAUAGAAAUUAUUCAAAUGUCACAAAACCUACACACCAUUAUUUGCAACUUGCAAUGUGUGUGCCUUCCAUUCCUAUGCUGGUUCACACAUCGGUUCCUUUUGGUUCACAAAUGACGCAAUUGACGGUGUAGAAUCGUAUCGAGAUGUUAGCAGACCGUUCUAGAGACGUCAAGCUGCUUCCCGACUUGCCAGACACUUUCGUGCCCAAGGACACCGGAAGAAUGUGCUGGAAAAUUCCACUACAACCUAUGCUGUACGGUAUCAUUUAUCUUUGGAGGCUUGUCAUUUUGUACACCACCAAUCCCCGUAUUGAUUGACGUGGAGUUGAUUUGGUUGAUUUUAUUAUAAUACGUUAUUAAUGCUGGGAGUGUGUAUCGCUAGGCCAGGGAUGUUUAAUUACCGGUACGGGAUCUGAUUGCUAACACGCCGGUGUCAGUCGGGUCAAAGCUGAGAUCUGAACUGAUUAAUCUUUGCAAUGAGCUUUCCAUAUCGAUCCCUUGAGGAUCGUCCUGUUGCAGGCAUAACUCUAGAGGUUAAUUAAUCUAGAGGGUGCUAUCUGAGGAUGUCAACAGUACAAAAUGGUACACAUUCAGCAAAUUCUUUCCCAUCACCACGAUGGCAACAAUAACGGCCUAAUGGUUUGAUGAAUGCGUUUCGCGAACAUAACCGGUUUAGUGGUGCGAUCAGUGCGUGACGUUACGCGAUGCAUAUACAAACACACAACCAUGCCGGGGACCCAGCCCGCCGAACACCGGUUUGAUGAUCAGCUGGUGACCUUGGCGGGAAGCGAUGUUUCACUUUAUGCCUACCGUAUGUUGUAAAACAUGAGAGCUUUUCGGUGUGUAUGCAAAAACCAUCACAACUUUGCUGGUUUUGGAGAGAGAGAAAGAUAAAACUGUUUGGUGCUUUAUUUGCUUGAUCUCUUUUUUGUUCGUUUAUUUUCACUGAUUGAAUGAAAGAGAUGAGAUGGUAGUGGUGAAUGUUGAUCGAUGCUAAUUAGUGGUAAUUUAAGCAGAAAAAAAAACUCAUAGCGCCAGCAAAGCACUUUCAUGGUGCGCAAAGUUUAAUACGGUUACAUUUUUUUUAAAUCACCAAAUUGCAUACCAAAAAAAAAUUAUGACAAUCUUCAACACUUUCGCUUUUAACAAUUAGCGUGUGGAAUUGCUGUGGCUAGACAUUAUGGGCCAGUGUGUCAAUACCCAGGCGUUCGCAAUAACACCGUACCGGCUUCUCCCCCUUGACGCAAUAUGCGCAAUGGAAAAGCUCACACGAGAUGUUUAAUCAUCUUUAUGUUGCGGGAGAUGAACACAAUUUGUUUCUUUCUUUGUGCAAUGGGAGUUAAUAGGAGAAGUGAAAUUGUUUCUAGGCAGGGGUUUAACCCGCGAAAAAUUGUAUGAUUCAUAGUUUAAGCGUUUUCAUUGCGUGUUUUUUCGUUU